GUCCACUAACUCGACCUCAGCCUCCCUCUCUUUGCUUGUCGAUACUCGACCUCAGCCCCAAAUUUCAGAUCUUCAUAAACCCAGAUGAAAUCUCCCUCUCACUCUCUCAGUCCCUCCCUCACCCUUCUCUGAGUUGUCUAUCUCUCUCUCCUUCCAUUACCAGCUCCUGCUCCAGUCUCGAUCUCCGAAUAUCGAAAUCCUCCUCCGCUCUCUCCGUCACGGAAUCAAAACUGAAGGUCAAGGCUUGACCGUUACUUUUUCUCAACGUCUCUCUCUCUCUCUCUCUCUCUCUCUCUCUCUCUCUCUCUCUCUCUGUGAUCAAAGCUUCUUCUUCUUCUUCUCUGCAAUACCCAGGUUCAAAGCUUGUUCCGGUGGUUGGUCAAUUUGUGUGCAGAAGCAAAUAGCCGGUGCGACUCUUUAUUCCGAUUCUUUCCUCUUCUUUGUUUCUUUUGUUUGCACAUGCAAACAUUCUUCAUGUUGGAGUGAGGCUGUUGAACUCCUCUGCUAAUCAGGCAGAAUAUCCUUAUGUAUCUGGCAAGAAAUACAGAAGACUUGAUUAUUGCAAAUUGUGUUUAUGUUUCUGUUGGACAAUUUGGAUUGUUUUCUGUUAACCAAUGUAUUCUGGACUCUUGAGUUUGUGUUGUAAACUGUAAAC
Rosa rugosa (rugosa rose) is the source of this 655-nucleotide long non-coding RNA. RefSeq lists it as uncharacterized. The transcript is spliced from 3 exons. The record is from RefSeq and is a predicted model, not a curated record. NCBI's taxonomy places the organism in Eukaryota, Viridiplantae, Streptophyta, Magnoliopsida, Rosales, Rosaceae.